AGGCUUUUUGUAGUUGCACAGAACACUGUGUGUUUGCCCAUAGAGUACGAAUCUAUAUAGAGACACCAUUUGCUCUGCCGCUCACUUUGUUAGACUUUGCCAAUGAUGCCACACAGGCGAUAAACGAUAAUUUCCCUCGUAUUUCGUUCCCGCGUUAGCUUCAAACCUAACCUUGAAUUGGCUCUCAGCACAGGUUGGGCAGAGGUUCGGGCAGAGCAAGUGGUGUAGAUUCUUACUCUAUGGUUUGCCAGCGAGUUCAUGUCACCGGACUAUCUUACUUCAGAAAAUGCGGACGAGUGAGUCAAAUGAUUCGAAGCAAUUGGACUUCCCCAGUGUCUAGGUGCAAUUGAUUUACCUAUGUAAACAUCGGCUCUGCUGGGCGCUGCAAAGACUCCACUAUAUUUUAAAAGUCCAGCCUGGCAAGGAAAAUGGUGUCUUAUCCGAUUCUUCAGCUUAUUCUUAUUCUUAUGCUUAUUGGGGACUCUGCCUUUCAAUUCUCCCCAACGCUGAUGAAGCCGUACCCAUUUUCCACAUCUGCAUCCGAAGAACAGCGAAAUUUUGACUAAAAUCUGUCCAAAGCUAGGCGAGUAGAAAAUACAUUUGGCCAUUUAAAGGCAAGAUUUCGGUUCAUUGGGAAAGACUACAAGAAUAAUAAUGCAGUUAUUCCAGCAACAUUUUAAAUUAGCACAACAAACAUGGCAACGGGCUGCAAGUGACCUACGCGAACAACCAAAUCGGACAAAUAUGUCUGCAGACUUUAGCCAGCCUGCUGAAAAAAUAAGAGGAGCUAUUUCCCAAUAUUGUUUAAAU
Molecule: non-coding RNA, 810 nt
Organism: Drosophila suzukii
Lineage: Eukaryota; Metazoa; Arthropoda; Insecta; Diptera; Drosophilidae
Source: RefSeq, a predicted model, not a curated record